AUGUUCUUGUGCCGGACGCCGCCGAGGAUGCCGGCCUCCGACUCGAACUCGCGCUCCAGCUUCUCGUCCACCUUCCCGGCGCUCCGUAUUUGCUUCACGGCCACGGCGCCGGCGCUGCCGUUGUACCGGUUAGUGUACGCGGCGCGGUACACGCGCCCCGACCCGCCGCUGCCGACGAGAUUCUCCUCGGUCAGCGCCCGGAGUAUGGCUGCCUCCCCGAAGCCCAAAUCGGUCUGGAAAGGCGUGAUCUUCCAGCCACCGUCCCGUGCCGCGCGCUUCCUUUUCCUGAUGUCGCGGACGAUGAAGAAGGCGAAGACCACGAUGAGGACAAGGAGCGCGCCGGCAGCGGCCAGGAGGCCAGUGCGGAGCGCCGGCGAGACGCCACCGGAGGAGGAGGCAGCUUGUGAUCCCGCAGCGCAGGAGCGCACGCCGGUGAGAUAG
RNAcentral lists this ribosomal RNA (441 nucleotides) under Triticum aestivum (bread wheat). RNAcentral's name for it is "partial small subunit ribosomal RNA". Lineage: Eukaryota; Viridiplantae; Streptophyta; Magnoliopsida; Poales; Poaceae. The record is from RNAcentral.